Molecule: unclassified non-coding RNA, 710 nt
Filed under: Hevea brasiliensis (rubber tree)
Lineage: Eukaryota; Viridiplantae; Streptophyta; Magnoliopsida; Malpighiales; Euphorbiaceae
Source: RNAcentral
UCUUAGAUAAAUGGACUUUGAAGAGUAAGUUGGUUUAGACUGGGUCACGAUUUGAGUUAGGCUUGGAGUCGGUCUGGUCAAAUUCGAGAUUAAAAUUGAUUAAUGGUUUACGAGUUGGAAUCAUAUUAGAACUGUCUUGGGGGAUAGUCAGUCUUGGUCCCUCCCCUCCUUGAAUUGGACUGGAUUAUAACUGCUGGUUCGACCAAACGGUCUCUGUUCGAACCUAGGGAAGGAAAAAAAGUUCUUAAAAAGAAUCGUAUCAAAAUAAAAAUCCUUUUCGAAUUGGAAUCAAAAUCUGGUCAAAUUUGAGACCAAAAUCAGUUAAUGGUGUUCAAAAUUGAUCAUUGGUUCAUGGGUUAAAACCAUCUUGGGAGAUAGUUAAUCCCGAUUCCUCCCUAACAGGAAUAGGAAUUGUAGGAAAUUGGCUCUUAUGGUCCAGUCCAAUUCAAGUCAUAAAACCGAACCAGAUUUGCCCGUGGCCUGAACUAAUUUGGUUUUUCACCUCCAUAAUAUAUAUCGUUUCACAAAAUUGAUCAACCUCCAGGUGUCCUAGAACAAUUACAGUUAUUGAAAACAAGAAAAGUGAGUAACUGAUUCUAGAAAUUCAGGGUUUUACAGAAUGGUUAAGCGUUAAAAUGAAAAAGAAGAAAAGAAAAAUAGAAGUUCAAAAUUAUAGAAUGUACUCUAUGAUGUUGAAUUGAGGAUAAGGG